RNAcentral lists this ribosomal RNA (35 nucleotides) under Quercus ilex. RNAcentral describes it as "partial 25S ribosomal RNA". The record is from RNAcentral. Lineage: Eukaryota; Viridiplantae; Streptophyta; Magnoliopsida; Fagales; Fagaceae. RNAcentral also lists the same sequence under 2 other names.
GCGACCCCAGGUCAGGUGGGACUACCCGCUGAGUU